Long non-coding RNA from Ictalurus punctatus (channel catfish), 388 nucleotides. Lineage: Eukaryota; Metazoa; Chordata; Actinopteri; Siluriformes; Ictaluridae. The record is from Ensembl.
GUUAUGAGGUGUAAGAGUUGUGAGGUGUUACAGUUAUGAGGUUUGUGUGAGGUGUUACAGUUAUGAGGCGUUACAGUUGUGAAGUGUUGUAGUUGUGAGGUGUUACAGUUAUGAGGUGUUACAGUUGUGAAGUGUUGUAGUUAUGAGGUGUUACAGUUAUGAGGUGUUACAGUUGUGAAGUGUUGUAGUUAUGAGGUGUUACAGUUAUGAGGUGUAAGAGUUGUGAGGUGUUACAGUUAUGAGGUGUUACAGUUGUGAAGUGUUGUAGUUGUGAGGUGUUACAGUUAUGAGGUGUUAUCGUUAUAUCAGUGGUCUGCUACUGUAUUAAUAAAAUAUCUACUGAAAAAAACCUGGGUGCAGGUUUUCAUUCCAACCAAGAAGAAGCCAA